RNAcentral lists this unclassified non-coding RNA (578 nucleotides) under Hevea brasiliensis (rubber tree). The record is from RNAcentral. Lineage: Eukaryota; Viridiplantae; Streptophyta; Magnoliopsida; Malpighiales; Euphorbiaceae.
GGGAGCAUUGCAUUACAAUCUGGAGUUGGUAUAGUUUCUUCCAGAUUAAGUCAAUCCUUCAAUAGAGUGUUCUUGUUCAAACCCAAUGUAAGAAUCCGAUACUAGAAUGAGCUUUAUCCCCUGGAAAUUGGUCAGAGUGGAUGGCAAAUCCAUGUGUGUCUGCAAACGACCAGAGAAAGACACUCUCUUCAGAGCAUACAGUUCACUUGCGGAAGUAUUACAAAGGACUAACCACCAAGCUUCAUCUUUUACCUUUGGAUAUCGUGGGAUAAAAGCUUUUGCUGUUCUUCGCUGAGUAUUUGCAUCUUCCAAUCUAAUGUUCAAGGUUAAAAUCUUUCCACCAUUAGAUUCCUUUGGCUGAAUUUUAAGUCGAACUUGAAUCCGAGGGAAAUGCCGCAUAUCCUGAUACAGUUUCGAGGCAGCUGAACUUCCAGUGAUAGCCCGUAAUGAUUCUGAAGGGCAAUCCAACAGCUGCUGGAUACUAGCAAUUCCUUUUUUUUGCAAUGAGUUGAGUAGAUCAUCAGUCAUGCAUGGUAACAUCCAAAGAGGAGAGUCUCUAUCAAACCACAAGCCCUGCA